This 448-nucleotide ribosomal RNA is filed under the name uncultured bacterium. Its description in RNAcentral is "bacterial SSU rRNA". It matches the Rfam family "Bacterial small subunit ribosomal RNA", at positions 330 to 793 of the family's 1533-position model. The record is from RNAcentral.
GCCAGACUCCUACGGGAGGCAGCAGUGGGGAAUAUUGCACAAUGGGGGAAACCCUGAUGCAGCGACGCCGCGUGAGUGAAGAAGUAUUUCGGUAUGUAAAGCUCUAUCAGCAGGGAAGAAGAAGGACGGUACCUGACUAAGAAGCCCCGGCUAACUACGUGCCAGCAGCCGCGGUAAUACGUAGGGGGCGAGCGUUAUCCGGAUUUACUGGGUGUAAAGGGAGCGUAGACGGUUAAUCAAGUCUGAAGUGAAAGCCCGCGGCUCAACUGCGGAACGGCUUUGGAAACUGAGUAACUGGAGUGCUGGAGGGGCAGGCGGAAUUCCUGGUGUAGCGGUGAAAUGCGUAGAUAUCAGGAGGAACACCGGUGGCGAAGGCGGCCUGCUGGACAGUAACUGACGUUGAGGCUCGAAAGCGUGGGGAGCAAACAGGAUUAGAUACCCCCGUACG